Long non-coding RNA from Ananas comosus (pineapple), 254 nucleotides. RefSeq lists it as uncharacterized. NCBI's taxonomy places the organism in Eukaryota, Viridiplantae, Streptophyta, Magnoliopsida, Poales, Bromeliaceae. The record is from RefSeq and is a predicted model, not a curated record. The transcript has 3 exons.
CUUCGAGCCUCGUUGAGCUGAACUUGUACCUUUUGAAGCUGGUUUGGGAGGUAUUCUAACCUGAGCGAGAGUGCGAACGAGCUUUGGAUCGUCGUGAGCUGACUUGUGAGAGCUCUUGGAAGCGUCUCUUGAGCAGCAUUGGGGCUUCGUUGAGCCGUUGUGGGACUUCUUGUGGAUAAUCGAGCCUAGUACUAGUGGGUCGGACCUAACAGAGCAAGUGAAGCUCCCCUAUGUCUAUAUGUACUAUAGAAUUG